CAUCCUCUAACUCAUCGCUUUCUUCAAAUUUGGUGGUUGACUUGAAUGCAAUGGUCUUCUUCUUCUUUGACUCUUCUUCUUCCUUCUUUUGAUGUAUGUUCAACUCAUGUGUCAUGAGUGAAUUGAUCAACUCCUCCAUGGACAGAUUGGUGAGAUCCUUUGCUUCUUGUAUUACUAUCACUUUACCUUUUCAUGUCUUUGGC
Molecule: long non-coding RNA, 203 nt
Filed under: Elaeis guineensis (African oil palm)
Lineage: Eukaryota; Viridiplantae; Streptophyta; Magnoliopsida; Arecales; Arecaceae
Description: long non-coding RNA (EGUI_LNC042379)
Source: RNAcentral